Brachypodium distachyon (stiff brome) is the source of this 83-nucleotide non-coding RNA. The record is from Rfam. NCBI's taxonomy places the organism in Eukaryota, Viridiplantae, Streptophyta, Magnoliopsida, Poales, Poaceae.
ACUCCUGGGUGACCGAUAGCGAAAUAGUACCGAGAGGGAAAGGUGAAAAGAACCCCCAGUGGGUAGUGAAAUAGAACGUGAAA